GAGUUUGAUCAUGGCUCAGGAUGAACGCUGGCGGUAUGCUUUAUACAUGCAAGUCGUACGAGAGUUUUUAACUCAAGUGGCGGACGGGUGAGUAACACGUAAGAAUUUGCCUUUAGGAGGGGGAUAACAACUGGAAACGGUUGCUAAUACCCCAUAUGCUUUUGAGUGAAAUGGAUUUUUCCGCCUAAAGAGAAGCUUGCGGCUGAUUAGCUUGUUGGUAAGGUAAUGGCUUACCAAGGCGACGAUCAGUAUCUGGUUUGAGAGGACGAUCAGACACACUGGAACUGAGACACGGCCCAGACUCCUACGGGAGGCAGCAGUAGGGAAUUUUCCGCAAUGGGCGAAAGCCUGACGGAGCAAUACCGCGUGAGGGAUGACGGCCUAUGGGUUGUAGACCUCUUUUUUCAGGGAGGAACAAAAUGACGUGUACCUGAAGAUAAGCAUCGGCUAACUCCGUGCCAGCAGCCGCGGUAAGACGGAGGAUGCAAGUGUUAUCCGGAAUCACUGGGCGUAAAGCGUCUGUAGGUGGUCAAUAAGUCAACUGUUAAAUCUUGAGGCUCAACCUCAAAUCGCAGUCG
Molecule: ribosomal RNA, 578 nt
Filed under: uncultured stramenopile
Lineage: Eukaryota
Description: bacterial SSU rRNA
Rfam family: Bacterial small subunit ribosomal RNA
Source: RNAcentral